Non-coding RNA from Lupinus albus (white lupine), 216 nucleotides. The record is from the annotation of a GenBank genome assembly. NCBI's taxonomy places the organism in Eukaryota, Viridiplantae, Streptophyta, Magnoliopsida, Fabales, Fabaceae.
GUGGGGGUGGGAGGGGCAAAAUUAAACAUCCCACUCAGUCAGCCGAGCACUCUAUUUUUCUUUCUUCUUAUGCUUUUAUAUUAAUUCAUACACAUGAAAUCUUAUUGCAGUUUCUCCUUCAAAUUCAAAAGUGUGACACUUGAGUCAAGUGGAUGGUACCAAUAACGUUCAUAAUGAUGGAAUAAUGUUGGAGUUAUGAGAUAAAGCGCCUCAGGU